UACGGGAGGCAGCAGGGGGGAAUAUUGCACAAUGGGCGCAAGCCUGAUGCAGCCAUGCCGCGUGUAUGAAGAAGGCCUUCGGGUUGUAAAGUACUUUCAGUCGUGAGGAAGGUGUUAAGGUUAAUAACCUUAGCAAUUGACGUUAGCGACAGAAGAAGCACCGGCUAACUCCGUGCCAGCAGCCGCGGUAAUACGGAGGGUGCGAGCGUUAAUCGGAAUUACUGGGCGUAAAGGGCACGCAGGCGGUUAAUUAAGUUGGAUGUGAAAUCCCCGGGCUUAACCUGGGAAUGGCAUUCAAGACUGGUUAGCUAGAGUCUUGUAGAGGGGGUAGAAUUCCAUGUGUAGCGGUGAAAUGCGUAGAGAUGUGGAGGAAUACCGGUGCGAAGGCGGCCCCUGGACAAAGACUGACGCUCAUGUGCGAAAGCGUGGGGAGCAAACG
This 439-nucleotide ribosomal RNA is filed under the name uncultured bacterium. RNAcentral describes it as "bacterial SSU rRNA". It matches the Rfam family "Bacterial small subunit ribosomal RNA", at positions 340 to 774 of the family's 1533-position model. The record is from RNAcentral.